Molecule: ribosomal RNA, 331 nt
Filed under: uncultured bacterium
Lineage: Bacteria
Description: bacterial SSU rRNA
Rfam family: Bacterial small subunit ribosomal RNA
Source: RNAcentral
UGCGUAGGUGGUUGCGUAAGUCGGAUGUGAAAUCCUGAGGCUUAACCUCAGAACUGCAUCUGAUACUGCGUGACUCGAGUGCAGCAGAGGGAAACGGAAUUCCUGGUGUAGAGGUGAAAUUCGUAGAUAUCAGGAGGAACACCGGUGGCGAAGGCGGUUUCCUGGGCUGACACUGACACUGAGGCGCGAAAGCGUGGGUAGCAAACAGGAUUAGAUACCCUGGUAGUCCACGCUGUAAACGGUGAGUACUGGGUGUGGGAGGUGUAAUGCCUUCUGUGCCGAAGCUAACGCGUUAAGUACUCCGCCUGGGGAGUACGGCCGCAAGGUUGAA